GCCAUUAUCACUGGGCCGCGGGCUGCGCGCCUCCCUGCUCCGGGCUGUUACCUCCCACGGCCUUGGCCACGGCGCCGUUGGGCCUCCCGCGGGCUCCCAUGGGGCUGCCGUUCUGCUCCAGCCGGGCCACCUUCACUGGGGGAGGCCCCUUGACGUCCGGGCUGCCGCUCCGCCGGUCGGGGCUGUCCCGCAGACACGGGCUCUCGCUCCGCCGCUCCAUGCUGCUCCGACUCGGAGACAAAGUUCCCACCGGCAGGUCGCAAUAAAACGCACAGGGACCUAGGGAGGGGGUGGGGGGAGGAAGGGGGAGGGAGAAAAAAGAGGGAAAACCGCUCAUACACGUGAUAGACGUUCAGGCCAGUGGCAGAGCGCUGCACCACAGCCACACAAACUUCCUCCCACGCUGCCCGAGGGGCCCGAGCCGGGAAGCCGGUCCCAACCUUACACUGGGCGGCCCCCAGGAAGCCCAGCGCCUCGGUUCGGCGACUCUGCCCAGUCGCAGCUCCCCAGAAGUCAGCCCUCGGGGUCGCGGCCGGGGUUGGCACCCAGGGGCGCCUAGAAGUGGUCCAUUCAUUGGGACGGGGUUGGCAUAAACCGUUCCUGGGUGCUACAGCCUAGCCCGUCCCGGGGUCAGGGUUGCGGAAUAAGUGAACUUCAGAAAAAGACGUUCCACCCACAUGGGAAGGGAGUUGGGGGUGUGCGCAAGUCCAUAACCGAAUUAACCACCCGGUAAAUGCGCUGUGAAUGGCCAGGCAGGAGCCAAAGGCCGGGCGAAAGAACCCCUUGAAUACCCGCUUUUUACCUAUACGGAGCAAGUCCUGAGAUAAGCACACACCUGCAUAAAAUCAACCCUAAUUCCACAUUAAUAAGCAUCCGAAAACACUUGGAGGUAUUUAUCAGAAUAACCUCCAUCACAAAGGCGGGCGCUACAAUCGUUAUUAUUUUGGAGCGUUCUUAUCUUCAUCUGAUCCCCAGUGCUUUUUUAAAGCUCUUCAAUAUAAAACACAAAAGCAAAAAGCAUUUGAAUUCUUAGUGCAAGAGCAGCCUUCAUCCGCCCCAAUUUUAACAUCGCUCCAGAAAGUUUUCCUCUGGGUCACUAGGUUGGCAGUGCGCUCCCCACGGAAGCCGCAGGUCUCGACACCCCUGGAUUGGGGGGGUGGGGGGGGGCGGGGAAGGAGGGGAAACACCUGAUGAAACGGCGCUCGCGUUGUCACUGACACCCGCAAGAAGCAAGACCCCGGCACCGUACUGCGUGCGCGCUGGGAAUCCUCGUGGGCGCUCUGGCCGCGCGAGCAGUGUCGGCGCCACGGGUCAAGGAGACAAGGUGGGGGUGGCAGGGGGAGGUGAAAGGAAGGAUGCGAGAUGAAGACACGGAGCAGGAGGGCUGAGGGCGAGGCUUCCGCCUGCAUUCCCCGACUUCGCGGUCCGAGAGGCCGAGAGCGGCGGGGAGGGGACUUCGUUGGCCCUGGGCUUCCCCGAACUCCCGAGCGCGGCGCGGGAGCCCUCGCCCUGCGUACUUACUGCUCACGGUCUGUCUGAAACUUGGCUGACUGGGGCUCUGUCCAUGGAGCAAAAGUAGAGAAUCCAGGGUGGAAAGUUUCUGGUGCUUGGCUUUGCAGUGUUCUCCUAGUCUUCCUCUUUACUCCUUCCCCUUCCCUCUUCCCCAGGUCCUAAUGUUUAAGGUCCUGGGUCAGGGUGUCUUCUUCUGGUGCGGAGAUGGUUGUUAUGAUGAUGAUGGGGGGAGGGAGGAGGGGGAGGAGGAGGAGAGGGAAAGGACUCCUCCAAAGGGACACCCGAGCGAGCGGGGGAGGGGACGGCGGAGGAGGGGGGAAGAGAAGGAGGCUGAAAGAGCCUUUUCACACCUUCGGGAAGGAGACCCGUUCUGGAGAGAAAGGGCUGAGAACCCGGAGGCGGCGGCGGCGGCGGCGAGCCGGGGCUGCUGGUUCGCAGGGCGGCUAGCUCGCGAGGAGGCGCGGCCAGAGCGGUGGGACCGGUAACACCAAGAGCCGAGAAGACGCAGGGACCCGGGACCGCGCGCGGGAGGAAACGCGGCGGCCGCCCAAGCUGUCACCUCCAGCCUCUCCCCUCUCGGCCGCCUCUGCCAGCAGCCAGAGCCGGACUCACUGACAAGCCGCAGAGAGAGACACACUGAGAGGGAGAUGAUUAUUAGUUGCGUUGAGUCAUCAGGCAAAGUGAGUCCUUUUGGGUUGUCCUCGGUUUCCGAUUUCUCCCCCUCCCCCUUUCGGUCCCCAGAUCUAGCGCCUUCAAAAUAAUAAUUUGGGGUGGGGGUAGGGGAAGUCUCUGGAUUAUUUCGGGAUGGGGGUGGGGGGGAUGGAUCUAAACCCAAGCCAGACUGGUCCACCGCAAGAAAAGAGGGGAGUGGGGGGCGGGGAGGAGGGCUGGGGAGGUUGCGGGGGGAGGGGGGCCCCGCCUGGCAGGAAAUUAAACAUCAAUCAAUCAAUCGCUGUGAGCACGGCGACCCAACGGCGGCGGGGCUGCGAAGGAGGCAGAGGGACAGGCGAGGGGCGGGUGGGAGGCAGGGAGGAGGGAAGAGGAAGGGGAGAGUCGGCGGUCGGAGCGGGGUGACGAGGACCUCAUGCACGAGGCGGCGAAGGACCGAUGGCAGAGAACCGAGUGCGGCGCGAGGCGGUGGCCGCGGCCAGCGGGUGGGUGCGUCUGGGCGCAGGCGGGCACCGGGGCCCAGGGUCUGGUCCUCCUCCUUGUGGCGGGUCCAGGGCGCGGCCGCCUCGCCCAGCCCCUAGGCGCACUCGUCCCGGCGCGGAGGCGGCGGCGACAAGGCAGUCGCUGGGUGCCGCGUCUGCCGGCGGAGACGCAGACCGACGCGCAAGAGGCGACCGCGGCUGCCUCGGCUCCCAGCUCUGUUAACUGCGCGGAGUACUUUCGACUUUGGAGAUAGGAGGGCGAUCGCCUCCCCCACCCACCGCCUCCGCCCACCACCCACCGCCUCCGCCCCUCCGAGCAACUUUUCCCGGUGCCUGCGAGCUCCCCCUCCGCGCCGAGCCGAACGUCCCGGCCCGCCGCGCUUCGUGCCGCCGCGCGCGCAGGGAAGGCCGCUUCUCCUUCAAAGCUGGCACGGCCGCGAGUCCGGAACAAUAGUCGGGGUGUCCCGAAUGCCAGGAGCACGGCCACUGCCCGCCGGGCUGUGGGUGGCACAGGAAUGGGGGUUGCGUGGUGGAUGCAGAGCGGGGUGCAUCCCUGGAUGGCAUCGCUGGAGCGCUCGCCGCUCCGGCGACAUCGCGAGCGGUGCAAACCGGGCCGCCUGGAGCCCGUGACGCGGUGGCGGCGAGGGCGGUGGGGCUGCCUGUCCUCGGGCUACAGGACUGGGGCUCCUGGGGACCCCAAGCUGCUCGAGCCCAGGGCUGCUGGCGCCAACAGAGCUGUGCCCUGAGGACCCGGCCUCCCCGCCCGGGGGGAGGCCGCACAGGAGCGUCCCCAGCAGGUCCCGCGAAGGCGUAACAGAGCCACAAACUUUUGCCGACUCCCGCGGCCGCGGCCGCCGGCAGCCCGACUCCGGCCGCGGUGCUCAUUUAAGGUGGCGCGGGCACUAGCCGAGCAGGCUGGCCUCUGGCCGCGCUUUUGUCCCUGCGAUUCCGCUUGGGCGCGCUGCCUCCUUAAGGAAAAGCACGUGGGCAGGGGCCGCAGCCCCCGCGAGAUACCCGGGGCGUCGGCGGACAUUAGCCGCUAGGACCUUAGGCGAGAAAAUGUGGACGCAUCCCCGCCGGCCCUGAGGCCAGAGAAUCCCCCCUCAACUGGUUGCACCUCAUGUCCCUCCCGCACACGUUGACUCUCCCUCCUAAUCCCCAGGACCCCGAGGGCUCUCCCACAUCUCCCGCAGCAAGAGCCACCGAUCCCCCUUAAGAAGCGUUGACUGUACGGCGGCGCCAGAGGGCCAAACUAAGUUCGGUUUCGGGAAACGCUCUCGGGAGCAGUUCUGUAAAUCCCUGCUGGGAGCAGAGACUGCGAAAAGCUGAGUCCGCCGAUCGUGCCCGGGACAAGGCUGCCUUCCACUCGCCCUCGCCGCAUCUACCUGGUAGGCGGCAUGCGCACGGGCUUAGAGGCUUGAGAGCCUCUGGAAGAGAAAGGGUCCCAGGAAGGAAACCUGCCCCCGGCCUAAGUGUCGGCGCCCAGAUCACCACGAACCCCGCACCUAGGCGCCGCCCACCAAGUUCCAAAGAAGUCCGAGGCGACCUGGGAGUCGGUCGGAUCCCAGCCGAGAAAAGAAACAAGCAGGAUAGCAAUUCUUAGGGGAGCCACCCUGGGAGUUUUAGGCAGCGUUUGCCUUUCCCUGGUUUUCUUCACCAAGCCCCAUCCUCCCCCCGCAUACCACCCCCAGUCAAAAGAGUGGGAGAAAAUGCACAGUUCGAAGUCGGUGAGAGCAAAAAUGGGUCUAGUAAAUCAACCCGUGGUGGUAGCUAAAAGGUUUGGGGCUGCAAAGAAACAAACUGUAAGUUUUGAGCAACAAACUUUUUCUUCAAUCUGUAAUAUGUCGAAAUGGGAAGGGGGUGUUGCAAAAGCCAACUACCACUGUCAAACUUAGCCCGUUUACAACAUGGGGAAAGGCGUAUUUCUUACUAAUAUCUCAACAACGAUAACAAUGCUGUAUCCUUCCUUACCUUGAUGUUGAACUGCGAAUCCUCCUCCGGAUCAAUGUCCAGGAACUUAGAAGAAUUGGUGAUAUUAGGAGUUCAGUACUUCUGGAAAAAAAUGCAAAUGGUUUAGCCAGGAUCUUUCCUGUCUGAUUCGUCACUAUUAUUAUAUCUGAUGAUGCGAAUGGUUGGAGCGAUUCAAUCCUAAGUCAUUAAUGAGCUAUUUUAUAAACACCACUGUCUGAAGAUCUUCAUUUACAUUUUGCUAAGGAUCACUUCGCUAACCUCACAGGCUUGUGUCAACAGCAUGAUUUGCAGGACUUCAGUUACACUCUUAUAAACAACACGGCUGUAUUGUUAAUCGGUUAAUAUUUUAUAAAGUGUAAAUAUUUUAUUAUGUUUUGAAGGGAACUAUUGAUUCUAAAUUAUUAAACCCCUGAGAAGGACUAUUUAAAUGAAAUAUACAAUUAAGUACAAUUAAAUGUACAUUGUGGUUAGUUUGUUUUCAGAUUCUGCACCCUUUUAAAUUCAUUGCUUUUCUCUUUACUGGAGUUUCCUCUUGUCCAUUUCUGAUACUGAAAAAAAUCUAUCAUGUUAGGAAAAAGCCUAAAUUAUUUAAAGUUGCAUUAAACUUAGAGGAAAAUGUCAAAUACGAUUAAUUAUGACCAGAAAUGUAUUUUGGAUGUUUGUAGAGUUGUAUUUCAUAUCACAUUUUACAAAUUUCUUCCGAUUUAAAGGAGAGUUCUAGGAAGUUUUGUGAUCUAUGUCCGGUGUGGGUUUUUGUCCUCUCGAGUUUUGUCUCUAAUAAAGGCCUUUUUUGUUUCAAAUUACAUACGCUUUUUACUGCACAAUUUUUGUAUUGACCUUAUUUCAACUGAAGCGAUUAUUUCCAGCAGGUUUAAUUUCGACAAUAAGAUAUAUUUUAAUAGUUUUACCUUUCGCUAGAAUUUUGUAUUGUUUAAAACAGUAAAUGAAUAAAUUUGCUGAUGAUUCAAGAAUAUUUGUUUGGUUUCGUUUUGUAUCCCUCAAAAGGUUUAUUUCCAAACUUUUUAAAACAAAAUCACGAGAAAAGAGUUGUUUUAAUUACGUUUGAUUUUUAAAAAUACUUUUAUCUAAAACCCAUUUUGUGCAUUAGGAGAUAGUUUGCUUCCAUGCUCAAAACAUGGAGUUCACAUCUGGGGGACAUUUUUAUCCCUCAGUUUCCUUCUAACUGACGUUUUUGUCGGGAAUCUGCUCAGACUUUUCCCCUUUUCUUCACCCACCUCCCAAGUUUUCCUUAUGUAAUUUAGUAAAAGGCCGCCUGUUUUUCACAAACACGGAUUUGUUAUUUUAAAAAUCAAUAGAUCUUUAUAUGCUAGUGUUAAAGGUGUAUGGUUUUUCUUAUUUCCAUCUUCUCUCCUUUUCUCUCUGUCAGGCCUUCUUUUAUGGCCUGCACUCUAAUGACGUUUCUUGAUUUCUCUUUGUCGACACCAAGUUUUUGUUGUGCGUGCUUUCGACCCUGGUCAACCUUCCUUCCUAGAGGCCCGCUCCGGACAGCGUAGGCCUGGGCGCCUGGGUGGAGGGUGCAGGGUGCCGGGCGCGGGACUUCGGCUCUCGCCUGGGCCAUCCCGGGCUCUGAGGGCCCGGCAUCCAUCCCCAAGGUCCAUGGCUUUCAAGUUCGGUCACCCAGGCAGAGAGACCCUGCCUUUUAAAGAGCCCUGGAAAGUUGCGCCGCGUUUUCCCUCAACCCUGGAACACGCAGGGAAAACUAUGGGAAUCGCCCGCGUCAAAAGCUUUCGACGGCUUCUAGGAACCCAAGCGGGCCUGCCUCUUCCCCUGGAGCUUGCCCUCCUGGGGGCGGGAGGAGGGCGGGAGGGAAUCAUUUCUUUCAAAUGAAGCCCACGCCAGCUCUGAAGCCAAUUUCCGCCGCGGACUGUCCGUGGAGAGUUGGCGACCAACACUUUCUCGGACGGCAUAACCGCGAGGGGCUUAGACUGGAAAUCAGAUGCGCCAAGAGGACAAGAGCCAGGGGCCAGAAUACCCCAGUGGGGGACGCGCCUUGGAGGACGGUUCGCCCAGGGUGGGCUUCAGCCCUUUCCCAGAGUGCUCCGGGCGUCUGGGGACUGACCGGAGCGCAGGGCGGGGGACACUUACUUCGUUAUCCGCACGCCUUCCUCGUUGGCAUCAGAGCCGGACAAAUCCCAACCCGCGCCAGGCAAAGAUAAAUGACUCCUGGCUCCCCCGGCAGCUCAGGGGGUCUGGGCGGGGGCGGAGAGGGAAGGAAGCCGUCGGCCGCCGGAGGUAGAGACUGUGGAGGUCCUCCUCCCGGCCCCAAGCGAAUGAGCCCCUGCGGCCCGAGCAGAGAGAUACGCCUCAGAGGGACGACUGAUGGGGAAGGAUGGUGGGCAACGAGUCUGCGCUAGGCGGUGAGCCUAGCACCCCAGAGGCCCGAGGGUCUGGGGCUAGUGGGGCCGACCGUUCAGGAGCCGGGUGGGCGGGAAGGGAAUUGCCAAGGUCGGCCCAGGAGCUGCCUCAGGCGAGGACGGGGAGCUUUCUGCACUGGGCUUCCCGGGGUAGGAGAUGGGCGUCGGGUGUGGGCACUGCCUGCCCUGGGGGAAGAAAGCGAGGAGAUAGGUUUCAGAGCUGGGGGAGUCGUUGGUGGGAGAUCUGGUGUCCCUUCGGCGGCCGCGGGCCGGGGGACCGGGGAAGACGGAGGGUCCUGCGGCCUGGAGCACCACCCUACCACACCAGGCAACGCCCCCCGGGGCGCCCUUCAUUCUUUUGCAGAGCCCAGAACUUAAUAGGUGGGUCCCCUUCUGCAACCACGCUGCGAGAGAAUGACUGCCCUGCUAAUCUAGUUUACUUGUAGAAAUCGACUGUAAACCGGGACAACAAGGCAAGGGUGGGGGAAGAAAAGGAAGCGCCGAAGGAGCCGCCGCUGCGUCCCCGCCCCCAGCUCGGAGCUGCCGGGGUUGGGGCCCCGGGUGGCGCUCCCGACCCGCCGCGUUUUCCUUAGGGAAACACCGAGUGAGGCAGAGGAUCUCAGGCCCAAGGUGGCUGCGAAGAGCCCCGAGGCCUCGGCUUGGCGUCAAUGUCCCGCCACCCUCGAGCCCGGGUCACUGCCCGGGUCCCGGCCCGGAGCCCCAGCGUCCUCUCCCGACAGCGCCACCGCGUGGGCUGAGGCCGAAACCUUCGGCGCCGGCUCUGCCGGUCGCGUCCCGGAGCCAACCCUUCCGCGUCGCCUGCAGUCCACGGGUUAAGGAUGUGGCGGGGGAUGGGCAGGUCCCUGGCCCAGGGUACCACCGGGCCACUCAACACAAAAACGCCCUGGCGCGUGCAAAAUACGAACGCCCACAGUUUGUCCCAACCCCUUGAAAUGAAAAGUACACCUGGAAAGCCCAAGAUAGCACCCGGUCCGCACCCCAAAUUUCAGGCAGGCCAGCAGGCGUCCAGAAAUCCGCUCCCACCCCUCGUAGGGGCAGGCAAGCUCAGGCAGCCGGGUGCAAGGGGGCCCAAACCGCAGUUGCCUCCCGAACGCUUUGAGGCUAUGGGCCCACGCCGGUCUUGAACCAAGCGGAGAGGGCGAAAAAGCCCGCUGCGGGACCCACGGUCCCAGACACCUACUGGAGCCAGGGACGAGGGGGGCAGUGUAUCCGGCGGCCCAAACUCGUAAGGAGUGGGGGCCAACUUAGAGGGCUUCCCGAGCUGGCGCCUCGCCUGUUUUCUCGGUAUCACGAAUCCCCUCGGACACCGUUUCAGUCCGUCAAGACCUUGGCCUCCGGGAAAGGCCCAAGUGACUGUGACGGCGGCGACUCGGGCUCAGUUCUCCCCCACCCCGUGGUGCCUUCCCUCCCCGCCCUACAGCCAAGCCCAGAGGAACAGGGCAUCGCCUCGCGCGGUCCCGGAGCCACAUCCGGACUUGGGAACCCCGUGUCGGGCUUAGAGGACUUCACUGGGCGGGUUGGGGUUUAUUUUCAAUAAAUUCAGCUGUUCACAUACACCCCCACCACCAUUUCCACGCGCGCGCGCGCACACACACACACACACACACAGAGGGACUUGUCAACUAUUGAGACAGCGACCCAGAAAGGUGUAAAUUCACCUGGUGCCCACCCAAUUGCAAAGCUCCCAGACCCACACAAAACACUAGCGAGCCCUGGAGGUCUGAGACGCCCCGCGCCCGACUCACGGCGCGAACACCAGCGCUCCGGCCGGGUCGCAGGGGCCGGUGCCCAGCGGGCCGGGGUCUGGCGAGCCAGGCAGCGGGCCGGCUGAGCUCCUGCGCCCCGCGGUCGCGUGGCCUACUCGCCUACUCCCUUAUUAUUGGCUGGGACCUGUUCCUUUCCAAAGUGUGAUGCCCGGUGUCCUACCCUAGGCCACGCGGAGCUCUCUCCCGGCGUGUCGGGCCCUGCGCCCCUGCCCAGUGGCUCACCUCGGCUCGCUGCGCCCGCCUUCGCCCCAAGUGCCCAGGACGGAGCGAGGGGCUGUGGGUCGGCGCAGGGACGCUGGCUGCUCACCUCCAGGAGCCGACAGAAGGUGCCUUCGGCGUCACGCGUCCAACCCUGGGGCUGAUUUAAAUAACUAAUAAGCUCAGAGAAAUUUUACGAGGGGAACUUUUCCUUUUAGUAUCAAUAAAGCCUAGUAAUUGGGUUUGUUGGUUACCUAAGCUCGAGUUCGACUUUCUCAGUCUCUCUCUCUCUCUCUCUUUCUCAUUCAGAGGCAACGUUUUCAAAAACCGGCAAUUGCGUGUGCGUUUGGGGUGUGCAAGUGUGAGUGUAGAUGUGUGAAAGUUAUUUGUUUCAGCAGUCCUUGUCUCGAGAGCAAUCAUCAUUGUAGCUUUGAGUGAAGAGUUUUCAAAGGUGAACUGUUGUUAUUUCUGUCAACAGAAAACUGUUGACAACCAUUCAAGUCUCACAAUACAAGUAUAAUAUAAGGGAGGGUGGAAUAUCUAAAGACUGUCCCGUUGGAUAUGACAGAAAGACAUCUGCAGUGUUUCCCUAAUAGUUUGCAUUUUAAUUAACUUUCAUUACAUUCUGACUUCCACUCAAUAUCCGUUGUUUUCAGUAAAGACUUCUAUAUGAUAAAACGUUGUAAUUUUUGUUCUGGUUUUCCAAUCUUCUUGAAAACCAGUUCUUAAUUGUAAGGAAUUUUUCCACCUGGGAACCAUGCCGUAAUUUAAAAAUAUAAAAGACCUUUCAUGAACAAUAACUGCAAAUAACCCAUUUGUUAGUGUCUGCGGAGUUGCUGGCACCUAUACAAAGUCUCUGAAAUAUAAAGGCAAUCUAAGAAUGUUUCUCUCCAACCAUAGUGAUAUAUACUUUUUUCGUUUUUGUUGUGUGGAAGUUAAAAACACUUUUAAAGUUACUUUUUAGAAAAGUGUUGUGCUAAAAUUUACCUGAACUUAAAUUCCUUAUCAAUGUUAGCCUAACGAAAUGAAGAGUAUUUCUGAAUCAGAUUAUUGUUAGAGUCAUAUGCUAAAUAGUAAAGGAAAAGAAAUGGGAAUUAAAGUUUGCAAACCAAGACCAGGGAAAAGUCGGCUCCAGAAGUUACCAGGAACCCACCCAAACCUGUGCACUCAUAUCUCCUGUAUUUACAUAUUAUAGACAACUUUUCCUUUCCACUUUUAGCUAGAAAAGUGGUGGGCUCCCCUUAGUUCGUCUCGUUUUAUGCUGUAAGACCCAAAGUCUGCUGAGGGCUGCCCCUGCCAGGUAACUUCCGGAGACCCGGAGUUACUUGGAGACAGACCCGGCCCUUUGCACAUUCCAAGUGAAGGACGUCUCGCGCAUUCUUCCCAGAGCUACCACACACCUAACCUCUUCUGGACACCCAACAGCUGGGGCACUGGAGCACCUGACCCUACUCAAGAUCAUCCCCCAGCCCUUGCCGGCACUUAGGGACAGCAGAAUCUGAGCUGUGGGUGUACAUACUCCCCAUUUUCUGCUUUCCCAGAGGAUCACAGACAACUUUUCUUCCCAUCUGCUCCCGCUGGACUCCUAUGAUCACCCAUCAUCCCCAGUUGUUGCUAUCUCUGAGCUCUUGGUGACCAGCCCUUGUCCCCCAAGCUGACCAAGUUGAGAGAGUACUUGUCCUCCCAGCACUGUCUCUCAGUAUCAGGAAGUUGAGAUCAGUGGCAGGGAAAGAUGGAAGGAUUGGCAAGGAAAGUGCAGGGCCAAGUAGAGUAGCUCAGAGCCUCAGCAAUGGGCACCUGUCCUCCCCCAAACAACCUGUGGUCUCUCCGGCUCCCUGCUUUUCCACCAUUGGUCCCAUCCUGGGCUACCAGCCUCCACUGAGCUGCUCUGGGAACUUAGGGUGUCUCACAUUACUUCCCUGCUAUGGCAUAUUUUGGUUUCAGUUGAGCUAUUUUCUGAAGAUGUGGAUACUCCAGUUUUAUUCUUUUUCUGUCUGUGUCUCAGUACUCUUUUCCUUUUUUAAGAAUGUUCCCCAAGCCUGGCUUUUGCCAGACCCUGUGCCAUCUCCCCAAGCUCUAUUUACAAGAACAAGAAGUGAUUUGUCUGUUUAUAGCAGGUUUAAUUAAGACAGUUAUGCGCCGUGAACUCUUUGGGCCUCAAUCAAUGCACUUAGAUUUGGAAACUCAGAUAGAAUCACAUCUUACACGUGCGGCCCCGGCUGGCCGCCCAGGCUGAGGACAGAGCUAUUGUUUUCUACAUCAGCCUCACUGGAACUGGGCAAGUCCCCUGCAGAACUGGCACCCCCUGCUCCUCCCAAGAGACCUCAAGUCAGGUCUCCCGGCCAGACUCAGGCCUUUCUAAUACAGGCGUGAAGGGCGGGACGCCCAGAGCCCUCUUGUUGGCCGGUGGCUAAGGAGCCAGGUGGAUAACUUCUGCGGAUUCGGCUUUCAGGCUGCUGGAGCUCUCCCCAGCCCGAGGCCUUAGCCCAGCGCAAUCCCUUGUCCAGACCGGCCAGUUUCCGCGUGGCGAAAAAGGGGGAGGCAAGUGUGUCUUUUCCAAGGAGCUUUUAUCCAACAGCCUCCCCUCCCCCCAACUCUCAGCCUUAGGUGCCGGGCUUCAGCCGAAGCGUUUUUCAAAUUUGUCAUCAUUGGAAACCUCGGACAAGUGGAGUGUAAAAUUUUGAGGGUUUCCAGGUAGGCUCUGACUUCAGGCAUUCAAUGAAAGGGGAAGAGGGCUGAGGGCGGGGGAGAGAGACAAGCACAGAGGGCUCCCUGUAGUCGGCAGGAAUUCCCUCCCUCUGCAGCCCAGCUGCACCCACUAGCACACACUAGUCUUGCCUUCUCCCGGCUUUGGAAGAAUCCCCACCACAUUCUUUAGCUCUCAGAAAGGAGAGGGCAGUCAGGUCAAGGUCUUUCAGCAUCCCUACCGCAAUAUACCCCUCCCAGCCCCCUCACCACCACCACGUUGGCCUAGGACACAGGACCCCGGGGCCAGGGCCUCAGUGACUGCAGCUUAUGCCACCUAAUGCAGAAUGGGGUGUCCCUGCCUCCACUGCUCCUCUCGGUCUCAGCAUCCAGGUCCUGAAACCCCUGCGAUUCUGGCCUGGGAAGCCAGACUUGCCACCAACAUCAUGGUAUCACCCAUAAUUGAUCCACUCAGUUUUCAGUAGAUGUGGAAUCCAACAAGAGUAACACCACCCUCCACGCCCCACUCUUUUUUCUUUCUUUCUUUCUUUCUUUUUCUUUCUCUCUCUCUCUCUCUUUUUUUUUUUUAAGAAUCCAAGGCACUUGAAACAUUCUGAGUGUGCCUGCAGUAGGGUCUCAGAGGAGUUGCUCUGAAAGCUGUUGAGAGCAGCCACCUUUGCUGUCACUGAGAGCUUGGCAGGGUCAGCUCUGGUGGGCCGUUUGCACCCAGGCUCUGAUGGCACCAGGAUGGCUUCCUGCAACCCGGUAGGAGGACUGGGGUGGGUGGGUCCAGUAUUUCGUUUCUUCCUCUUCCUUUUUUUUUUUUUAAUGUCCCUCUUUAUUUCUAUUGAAGACUAACCUCAGUAUCAAAGGGUGCACUUGUUUGUCCUAAAUGGCUUGUAGCUCUUUCCUACUCUGCCACAGGACAUUAGCUCUGGGAGCACCGCCUGGCAGGGCCUUCGCUUUGGGCCUAAGCAUCCAACUGAGGCCCAGCAAUUCCACCUGUGGGGAAUCUUGCAGUGAGGUAUUUGUGCAUCAGGAGUGGGGAGUGAGGGAGAGAGAGCUGGGCUGGUGCAGUAUCCACUCUCGCACCUCCUCCCUGAGCGGAGCUCCAGUAUAGACUAAGUGAAUGAAUCCAUGAAUCAGCUCCAUAGCCGAGGGGUAGAAGAAGCAGCCGUCUUCGUUAAAUGGGCUGUUGGCAGUUGCGGCUGACUGCUCUACCCCUCGCAGGCCCGCCUCUGGGCAGGCCUGAGGUGGCCCUGGAGCCCCGCCAGCAGCCCCCGCCCCUCAGGCCAAGCUCUGGCCCUGGCAAUCUCUGCACUUUGUCAUCACGCCCGAGUAUUUGACAUUCGCAAUUAUCUGCAAAUACCCUGAUCAGUUUGUAUAUGAAACACUUUUUUUCCUGCCUUAAGGUUGGAAUCUGGUAAGUUUCAGACAAGUGGUUGCAGGGGGAGAUGACCCAGGGGACCGUGCGGGACAGGGCCGGUGAACCCGAUUCCGCGAGGCGGGCGUCUCGAAGGGACUGGUCUGCGUGCCUCACCGGGUUCCCCAGCCUGGCUCCGAGGAAAGGCCGCGCGGAGGCGAGAAAGGGCCCACAUCUCGAGUCUCCAGUCUCUCCUUGAAAAGAGCACCCCCUAAUCCCGGAGGAAGGGAGGGUGAAGGAGGAGGGGAGAGCCCACUACAGGCAAGGCAGGAAGGUUAAUCAUUUUGUUAACCGGAAAGGGUGCUGCCCCGCCUGGCCGUCGUCACCGAGCGUGUCAGUCACCCGCUCUCGAUUUCGCCGCAGAAUUACCUGCUCAAAGAGCCACCCCAAGAAGCCCUCAGCUCCGAGGUCUUCCCGCCCGUCGUCUGCGGGAAGUAAACGGCGUCCUCCCUCCAAAGAAGUGGAUGCCCCUUCGACUCUCCUCCGC
RNAcentral lists this long non-coding RNA (13589 nucleotides) under Homo sapiens (human). RNAcentral describes it as "HSALNT0308190". The record is from RNAcentral. Lineage: Eukaryota; Metazoa; Chordata; Mammalia; Primates; Hominidae.